GCGAACGGGUGAGUAACACGUGAGUAACCUGCCCUUGACUCUGGGAUAAGCCUGGGAAACUGGGUCUAAUACCGGAUAUGACCAUCUGACGCAUGUCAUGGUGGUGGAAAGCUUUUGUGGUUUUGGAUGGACUCGCGGCCUAUCAGCUUGUUGGUGGGGUAAUGGCCUACCAAGGCGACGACGGGUAGCCGGCCUGAGAGGGUGACCGGCCACACUGGGACUGAGACACGGCCCAGACUCCUACGGGAGGCAGCAGUGGGGAAUAUUGCACAAUGGGCGGAAGCCUGAUGCAGCGACGCCGCGUGAGGGAUGACGGCCUUCGGGUUGUAAACCUCUUUCAGUAGGGAAGAAGCGAAAGUGACGGUACCUGCAGAAGAAGCGCCGGCUAACUACGUGCCAGCAGCCGCGGUAAUACGUAGGGCGCAAGCGUUAUCCGGAAUUAUUGGGCGUAAAGAGCUCGUAGGCGGUUUGUCGCGUCUGCUGUGAAAGACCGGGGCUCAACUCCGGUUCUGCAGUGGGUACGGGCAGACUAGAGUGCAGUAGGGGAGACUGGAAUUCCUGGUGUAGCGGUGAAAUGCGCAGAUAUCAGGAGGAACACCGAUGGCGAAGGCAGGUCUCUGGGCUGUAACUGACGCUGAGGAGCGAAAGCAUGGGGAGCGAACAGGAUUAGAUACCCUGGUAGUCCAUGCCGUAAACGUUGGGCACUAGGUGUGGGGGACAUUCCACGUUUUCCGCGCCGUAGCUAACGCAUUAAGUGCCCCGCCUGGGGAGUACGGCCGCAAGGCUAAAACUCAAAGGAAUUGACGGGGGCCCGCACAAGCGGCGGAGCAUGCGGAUUAAUUCGAUGCAACGCGAAGAACCUUACCAAGGCUUGACAUGAACCGGAAAGACCUGGAAACAGGUGCCCCGCUUGCGGUCGGUUUACAGGUGGUGCAUGGUUGUCGUCAGCUCGUGUCGUGAGAUGUUGGGUUAAGUCCCGCAACGAGCGCAACCCUCGUUCUAUGUUGCCAGCGCGUUAUGGCGGGGACUCAUAGGAGACUGCCGGGGUCAACUCGGAGGAAGGUGGGGACGACGUCAAAUCAUCAUGCCCCUUAUGUCUUGGGCUUCACGCAUGCUACAAUGGCCGGUACAAAGGGUUGCGAUACUGUGAGGUGGAGCUAAUCCCAAAAAGCCGGUCUCAGUUCGGAUUGGGGUCUGCAACUCGACCCCAUGAAGUCGGAGUCGCUAGUAAUCGCAGAUCAGCAACGCUGCGGUGAAUACGUUCCCGGGCCUUGUACACACCGCCCGUCAAGUCACGAAAGUUG
RNAcentral lists this ribosomal RNA (1304 nucleotides) under Arthrobacter sp. Its description in RNAcentral is "bacterial SSU rRNA". It matches the Rfam family "Bacterial small subunit ribosomal RNA", at positions 98 to 1413 of the family's 1533-position model. Lineage: Bacteria; Bacillati; Actinomycetota; Actinomycetes; Micrococcales; Micrococcaceae. The record is from RNAcentral.